RNAcentral lists this ribosomal RNA (460 nucleotides) under uncultured bacterium. Its description in RNAcentral is "partial 16S ribosomal RNA". It matches the Rfam family "Bacterial small subunit ribosomal RNA", at positions 338 to 795 of the family's 1533-position model. The record is from RNAcentral.
CCUACGGGAGGCAGCAGUGAGGAAUAUUGGUCAAUGGCCGAGAGGCUGAACCAGCCAAGUCGCGUGAGGGAAGACGGCCCUACGGGUUGUAAACCUCUUUUGUCGGGGAGCAAAGCGAGUCACGUGUGACUCAUUGAGAGUACCCGAAGAAAAAGCAUCGGCUAACUACGUGCCAGCAGCCGCGGUAAUACGUAGGUGGCAAGCGUUAUCCGGAUUUAUUGGGUGUAAAGGGCGUGUAGGCGGGAAAGCAAGUCAGAUGUGAAAACUCAGGGCUCAACCCUGGGCCUGCAUUUGAAACUGUUUGUCUUGAGUGCUGGAGAGGCAAUCGGAAUGCCGUGGGUAGCGGUGAAAUGCGUAGAUAUACGGAGGAACGCCAGUGGCGAAGGCGGAUUGCUGGACAGUAACUGACGCUGAGGCGCGAAAGCGUGGGGAGCAAACAGGAUUAGAUACCCGAGUAGUC